GUAGGUGAACCUGCGGAAGGAUCAUUACUGAGUGAGGGUCCCUCGGGGCCCAACCUCCCACCCGUGUAUACCGUACCUUGUUGCUUCGGCGGGCCCGCCGCGCAAGCGGCCGCCGGGGGGGCGUCAAACCCCCCUCCCUAGGCGAGCGCCCGCCGGAGACACCAACGUGAACACUGUCUGAAGUUUUGUUGUCUGAGUUCGAUUGUAUCGCAAUCAGUUAAAACUUUCAACAAUGGAUCUCUUGGUUCCGGCAUCGAUGAAGAACGCAGCGAAAUGCGAUAAUUAAUGUGAAUUGCAGAAUUCAGUGAAUCAUCGAGUCUUUGAACGCACAUUGCACCCCCUGGUAUUCCGGGGGGUAUGCCUGUCCGAGCGUCAUUGCUGCCCUCAAGCACGGCUUGUGUGUUGGGUCGUCGUCCCCCCCGGGGACGGGCCCGAAAGGCAGCGGCGGCACCGCGUCCGGUCCUCGAGCGUAUGGGGCUUUGUCACCCGCUCUUGUAGGCCCGGCCGGCGCUGGCCGACGCUGAAAAGCAACCAACUAUUUCUCCAGGUUGACCUCGGAUCAGGUAGGGAUACCCGCUGAACUUAAGCAUAUCAAU
This 596-nucleotide ribosomal RNA is filed under the name Aspergillus sclerotiorum. Its description in RNAcentral is "eukaryotic LSU rRNA". The stretch from base 222 to 375 matches the Rfam family "5.8S ribosomal RNA". Lineage: Eukaryota; Fungi; Ascomycota; Eurotiomycetes; Eurotiales; Aspergillaceae. The record is from RNAcentral.